This 2448-nucleotide long non-coding RNA is filed under the name Canis lupus familiaris (dog). RNAcentral describes it as "lncRNA (ENSCAFG00040005160.1)". The record is from RNAcentral. Lineage: Eukaryota; Metazoa; Chordata; Mammalia; Carnivora; Canidae.
AUGGAAUCUUGUCUCACAUUUAGAUAUUUCAUCCAUUUUGAGUUUAUCUUUGUGUAUGGUGAAAGAGAGUGGUCUAGUUUCAUUCUUCUGCAUGUGGAUGUAUCUUGCAAGAAGUUACUGUGGCUGAGUUCAAAAAGGGUGUUGCCUGGGUUCUCCUCUAGGAUUUUGAUGGAAUCUUGUCUCACAUUUAGAUCUUUCAUCCAUUUUGAGUUUAUCUUUGUGUAUGGUGCAAGAGAGUGGUCUAGUUUCAUUCUUCUGCAUGUGGAUGUCCAAAAUUUUCCCAGCACCAUUUAUUGAAGAGACUGUCCUUUUUUCCAGUGGAUAGUAUUUCCAGCUUUGUCGAAUAGUAGUUGACCAUAAAGUUCAGGGUCCACUUCUGGAUUCUCUAUUCUGUUCCAUUGAUCUAUGUGUCUGUGUUUGUGCCAGUAGCACACUGUCUUGAUGACCACAGCUUUGUAGUACAACCUGAAAUCUGGCAUUGUGAUGCCCCCAGAUAUGGUUUUCUUUUUUAAAAUUCCCCUAGCUAUUCAGGGUCUUUUCUGAUUCCACACAAAUCUUAAAAUAAUAUGUUCUAACUCUCUGAAGAAAGUCCAUGGUAUUUUGAUAGGGAUUGCAUUAAACGUAUAAAUUGCCCUGGGUAACAUUGACAUUUUCACAAUAUUAAUUCUGCCAAUCCCUGAGCAUGGAAUAUUUUUCCAUCUCUUUGUGUCUUCCUCAAUUUCUUUCAGAAGUGUUCUAUAGUUUUUAGGGUAUAGAUCCUUUACAUCUUUGGUUAGGUUUAUUUCUAGGUAUCUCAGGCUUUUGGGUGCAAUUGUCAAUGGGAUUGACUCCUUAAUUUCUCUUUCUUCAGUCCCAUUGUUAGUGUAUAGAAAUGCCACUGAUUUCUGGGCAUUGAUUUUGUAUCCUGCCACGCUACCGAAUUGCUGUAUGAGUUCUAGCAAUCUUGGGGUGGAAACUUUUGGGUUUUCUAUGUAGAGUAUCAUGUCAUCGGCGAAGAGGGAGACUUUGACUUCUUCGAAUUUGAAUGCCAAUUUGAAUGCCUUUAAUGUCUUUUUGUUGCCUGAUUGCUGAGGCUAGGACUUCCAGUACUAUGUUGAAUAGCAGUGGUGGGAGUGGACAUCCCUGUCUUGUUCCUGAUCUUAGGGGAAAGGCUCCCAGUGCUUCCCCAUUGAGAAUGAUAUUUGCUGUGGGCUUUUCGUAGAUGGCUGUUAAGAUGUUGAAGAAUGUUCCCUCUAUCCCUACACUCUGACGGGUUUUGAUCAGGAAUGGAUGCUGUAUUUUGUCAAAUGCUAUCUCUGCAUCUAUUGAGAGGAUCAUAUGGUUCUUGUUUUUUCUCUUGCUGAUAUGAUGAAUCACAUUGAUUGUUUUAUGAGUGUUGAACCAGCCUUGCGUCCCGGGGAUAAAUCCUACUUGGUCAUGGUGAAUAAUCUUCUUAAUGUACUGUUGAAUCCUAUUGGCUAGUAUCUUGCUGAGAAGGUUUGCAUCCAUGUUCAUCAGGGAUAUUGGUCUAUAAUUCUACUUUUUGGUGGGGUCUUUGUCUGUUUUGGAAUUAAGGUGAUGCUGGCCUCAUAGAACGAGUUUGGAAGUACUCCAUCUCUUUCUAUGUUUCCAAAUAGCUUUAGUAGAAUAGGUAUGGUUUCUUCUUUAUUCGUUUGAUAGAAUUCCCCUUGGAAGCCAUCUGGCCCUGGACUUUUGUGUCUUGGGAGGUUUUUGAUGACUGCUUCAAUUUCCUCCCUGGUUAUUGGCCUGUUCAGGUUUUCUAUUUCUUCCAGUUCCAAUAUGGUAGUUUGUGGUUUUCUAGAAAUGCUUCCAUUUCUUCUAGACUGCCUAAUUUGUUGGCGUAUAGCUGUUCAUAAUAUGUUUUUAAAAUAUUUUGUAUUUCCUUGGUGUUGGUAGUGAUCUCUCCUUUCUCAUUUAUGAUUUUAUUAAUUUGAGUCUUCUCUCUCUUCUUUUUAAUAAGGCUGGCUAAUGGUUUAUCUAUCUUAUUAAUUUUUUCAAAGAACCAACUCCUGGUUCUGUUGAUCUGUUCCACAGUUCUUCUGGUCUCGAUUUCGUUGAGUUCUGCUCAAAUCUUAAUUAACUCUCUUCUUCUGCUGGGUGUCGGAUCUAUUUGCUGUUUUUUCUCUAGCUCUUUUAUGUGUAAGGUUAGCUUUUGUAUUUGAGUUCUUUCCAGUUUUUGAAUGGAUGCUUGUAUUGCGAUGUAUUUCCCCCUUAGGACUGCUUUGGCUGCAUCCCAAAGAUUUUGAAUGGUUGUAUCUUCAUUCUCAUUAGUUUCCAUGAAUCUUUUUAAUUCUUCUGUAAUUUCCUGGUUGACCCUUUCAUCUUUUGUCAGGAUGGUCCUUAACCUCCACGUGUUUGAGGUCCUUCCAAACUUCUUGUUGUGAUUUAGUUCUAAUUUCAAGGCAUUAUGGUCUGAGAAUAUGCAGGGGAUGAUCCCAAUCUUUUGGU